UGGUUACCUAUUUGCUGACAAUAGGUAAAGACAACUGUUGUGUCUGCUGCUGGCGUUCUGCAUCCUGAUCAUUCUGCUCACCUGGCAGGUGGAGCUAAUGACCUUCAUCAGGUGUUUCCGUCAACCAGGCAAAGCAGGAGGCGGAGCAGCAGGUCUUUGAGUUUUGCUGGACACAGUUUCCUCUUCUCUUAAUAAAACUGUGUUCCUCGUGUUCUUGGCGUCCGGUUUCAGAUGUUACGGUCCUCUUUUGGACUUCCCCGUAGACUGAGGCCGGUGUGACUUUUGGGGUCGUAACAACAACUCUGACAAAAAUGUCCAAGACUUUCUAACAUCAUCAAUCUCAGCUGACGGUUGGCUAAUAAAAGUGAACAUAUGGCUUCCCA
Molecule: long non-coding RNA, 383 nt
Organism: Oryzias melastigma (Indian medaka)
Lineage: Eukaryota; Metazoa; Chordata; Actinopteri; Beloniformes; Adrianichthyidae
Exons: 2
Source: RefSeq, a predicted model, not a curated record